Molecule: ribosomal RNA, 433 nt
Filed under: uncultured bacterium
Lineage: Bacteria
Description: partial 16S ribosomal RNA
Rfam family: Bacterial small subunit ribosomal RNA
Source: RNAcentral
AACGAACGCUGGCGGCAUGCCUAACACAUGCAAGUCGAACGAGACCUUCGGGUCUAGUGGCGCACGGGUGCGUAACGCGUGGGAACCUGCCCUUAGGUUCGGAAUAACUCCCCGAAAGGGGUGCUAAUACCGGAUAAUGUCUUCGGACCAAAGAUUUAUCGCCUUUGGAUGGGCCCGCGUUGGAUUAGCUAGUUGGUAGGGUAAAAGCCUACCAAGGCGACGAUCCAUAGCUGGUCUGAGAGGAUGAUCAGCCACACUGGGACUGAGACACGGCCCAGACUCCUACGGGAGGCAGCAGUGGGGAAUAUUGGACAAUGGGCGAAAGCCCGAUCCAGCGAUGCCGCGUGAGUGAUGAAGGCCUUAGGGUUGUAAAGCUCUUUUACCCGGGAUGAUAAUGACAGUACCGGGAGAAUAAGCUCCGGCUAACUCCGUG